This 497-nucleotide long non-coding RNA is filed under the name Ictidomys tridecemlineatus (thirteen-lined ground squirrel). Its description in RNAcentral is "lncRNA (ENSSTOG00000029924.1)". The record is from RNAcentral. Lineage: Eukaryota; Metazoa; Chordata; Mammalia; Rodentia; Sciuridae.
GUAAAACAGUAAAAACAACCAUAUAGCAGAGCAGGGAGAAGCUCCAGAGGGGCUGACAGGACACAGUACAAUAAAGCAGCCAGCAGUGAUGAUCAGUGGGACAUCAAUUUGUCCUUUGGACUGUAGCACCUGCUACUAAUUGGUGCGAAGAGCUCACCAGUCACUAUGAGGCACAGCACACUCAGCUGUCUCUUGAAUAUGCUGUGAGGAGCAGGAUAGCUAAUUGCUGCUGCUUCCGUGCCAGUGAAUCAACGUGCUGAGCUAAUAGCCACAGAUAGAGGGCAGACAGAUUCCUGCUAGCAGCUUAAGAGUUAGUUGCUUGCGAUAACUAAGGCAGUUGGCAUACACCUCAGAAUGUGGAGAAUGAUGGGAUGUGCAAGAGGCAGCCUUGUCAAGAAAACUUACUUCAUAAUCUUCCAUGGACUAAAGAUGAAACUUUAAACUGCAAGUAAGUUUUUUCCCCUCAAUCUUUUUUUUAUUUUACUUUCAAAUUUAAG